GGCCACGUAGCCAAGUGGUAAGGCAGUUCUCUGCAAAAGAACUAUACGCCGGUUCGAUUCCGACCGUGGCCU
Molecule: transfer RNA, 72 nt
Filed under: Minisyncoccota bacterium
Lineage: Bacteria; Bacillati; Minisyncoccota
Description: tRNA-Cys
Rfam family: tRNA
About the family: Transfer RNA (tRNA) molecules are approximately 80 nucleotides in length. Their secondary structure includes four short double-helical elements and three loops (D, anti-codon, and T loops). Further hydrogen bonds mediate the characteristic L-shaped molecular structure. tRNAs have two regions of fundamental functional importance: the anti-codon, which is responsible for specific mRNA codon recognition, and the 3' end, to which the tRNAs corresponding amino acid is attached (by aminoacyl-tRNA synthetases). tRNAs cope with the degeneracy of the genetic code in two manners: having more than one tRNA (with a specific anti-codon) for a particular amino acid; and 'wobble' base-pairing, i.e. permitting non-standard base-pairing at the 3rd anti-codon position.
Source: RNAcentral